GAGCAGGCAGAGCAGCAGGGAAAUGUGGGCUGCGAGGAGGCAGAAGAGGAGCGGGAGAGAGGAGAGGCAGCCUCCAGGCUGGGUGAGACACCCAACAAGCACCGGCAGGAACCGAGAAUGUGUCUCUGGCUACCCCUCACACUGGACACUCACCUUGCCGUCCACGAGGAUGUCAAAGCGAAUCCCAAACACCUUGAAGAGCCCGUGGAACUCAUAGACGGGUUUGCAGUGUCGCACAUGCCAGUCCAGGUCACAGUGCCAGUCGAUGGUGAUGCCUACCACCCCG
Non-coding RNA from Kogia breviceps (pygmy sperm whale), 286 nucleotides. The record is from RefSeq and is a predicted model, not a curated record. Lineage: Eukaryota; Metazoa; Chordata; Mammalia; Artiodactyla; Physeteridae.